UCAAGGGCCAGACACAUAAGAAUACAUGGAAUGAGACUCUGAAAUUAAGGGGCUGGCUGUCUUCCCAAUUGUUUCAACAACAGUUUCCAUCCCAUUAUGCUGAAAUAAUCCAUACUAUGCCACUUCAAGAAUACAUGAAUCUCAUAUGGCUACAUCGAGCAACUUGUACAGGCUGAUUCUGUCUUAAAACUGUGUUAUGAUUCCUAUGACAUGUCAAGGGAAUUUCAGUAUUGGUUGAAGACAAGUAACAAUUAGGUUUUAGGAAAAUUGCUUGGGUAUCGUGUUCCUCUGCUGCCACUCACGAAUCA
Humulus lupulus (European hop) is the source of this 308-nucleotide long non-coding RNA. RefSeq lists it as uncharacterized. The record is from RefSeq and is a predicted model, not a curated record. NCBI's taxonomy places the organism in Eukaryota, Viridiplantae, Streptophyta, Magnoliopsida, Rosales, Cannabaceae. The transcript is spliced from 3 exons.